GAUGAACGCUAGCGGCAGGCCUAACACAUGCAAGUCGAGGGAGAAGCCCUUUCGGGGGCAGAAACCGGCGCACGGGUGCGUAACGCGUAUGCAACCUACCUUUCACAGGGGGAUAGCCCGAAGAAAUUUGGAUUAAUACCCCAUAAUAUUAUUGGAUGGCAUCAUUUGAUAAUUAAAACUGCGGUGGUGAAAGAUGGGCAUGCGUCCUAUUAGCUAGUUGGAGUGGUAACGGCACCCCAAGGCUACGAUAGGUAGGGGUCCUGAGAGGGAGAUCCCCCACACUGGUACUGAGACAGGGACCAGACUCCUACGGGAGGCAGCAGUGAGGAAUAUUGAUCAAUGGUCGGAAGACUGAACCAGCCAUGCCGCGUGCAGGAAGAAUGCCUUAUGGGUUGUAAACUGCUUUUAUAUGGGAAGAAUAAGGCGUACGUGUACGUUGAUGACGGUACCAUAUGAAUAAGCAUCGGCUAACUCCGUG
RNAcentral lists this ribosomal RNA (478 nucleotides) under uncultured bacterium. RNAcentral describes it as "partial 16S ribosomal RNA". It matches the Rfam family "Bacterial small subunit ribosomal RNA", at positions 28 to 507 of the family's 1533-position model. The record is from RNAcentral.